CAACAGAUUCUGUUGCAUUCAUUCGCUCUUGAUACUUCACAUUGUGAAGAGUAGAAUACUAUAGUCAUUGUGUGUAAGCAUGUCACAACCACGAGAAAAAAAAUUGACCGUCUCUAACGAUGGAGAAUACAAAACAGUUAUUGAAAUAUUGAAGGACCAAAAGAUAUCAUUCCAAGUAAAAGAUGAGGCCGCCCGGAAACUAAUGUUCGCGGAUGAGGCCGAGUUCAAUGAAGCCGUUAAACUCUGCGAGAAGAAUGGAAUCAAGGUGGUUCAGGCUACAUGUAUGUAAGAAAGCAGUGACUCGGAAGUGUAGACCAAGUUAAAAGACGGCAUAUGCAGUUAACUGGUGACACUUAUGACUCCGGACAUUUACAAUUAGAUAAAAAUUAAUUGGUUUCACAAACAAACAACAAGAAAUGGACAAAAGAAAGUAAAAUAGAUAUUAAUUAGACACAAGUGUGUUUAUUAAAGACCCAAAGUUACAGAUGACCUGAUCAAUUCCUCCCAAAAUAAAAACAUGCUUAAAACCCGAUAAAUUCAUAAUUAUGCAUAUAUAACAUUAAAUUUAAUAAUUCUUUACAACUUUCAUUUUUUUCCAAAUACGAAAAUGUGAGGCAUAUCUGUAACAAUGGACCUUUGAAACGACUAUUUAGCUGAUAUGAUUUUUCAUAUCAUAAUUAUGUUUAAGUUCGCAUUAUAUUAUGUCACACAUUUAUGCAUUAUAACUUUCGCCAUAUUUGCUGUGAAUGUGAAUGUACCACAUGGGUUUAUGACCUGAUUUAAAUUGAAAUACACUUGUCAAAUUUGUCAAAACCUAAGGUUAGAAAUAUUUCUCAAAUAUGAUCUUUUAAAUUCGCAUUCUUUAUCUUCAGAGAGUUUUUGAAUGACGAAAUAUAUUAAUCUUAAAAGAAUACGUCAUAAAUCUGAGUAAUAAUGUGAACUAAAUUUUCCAACGUUUGCAAGAAGUAAUUAUAGGGGUAUAGUAGAGAAAACAUGUCCCAGGCACGGGAAAAUCUGACUGUUUCCAACGAUGGAGAUUAAAAACACUAAGUCCAGUAAAAAUAUUAAAGAAAGAGAAGAUUGCGUUUCAAAUAUCAACAGAAGACAUGAUUACAAAAGGUACGAUCCGAUUUGAUUAAUAAUCUUAGAUGCUAUUUUUGAAAGGAUCCGGGUACACGUGUACAGACACCCCUAAAGUACAAAGUGCAAACCUGCGUUUGAUUGUGUUACAAUACUUACAGCAUAUAAUGGUACUUAUACAAAAUGCAUUCCAAACCACACGUACAAGUACGCCUUGUCUUUUAACUUGGUUCUGUAAAACGAGCUGCAGUAUGGAAGUUUGUUAUAUUGACAGUAUGGAAGUUUGUUAUAUUGACAUUAUGAAAUUUUGUAAAAUUGACAGUAUGGAAUUUGGUUAUAUUGAUAUCAUGGAAUUGUAAUAUAUAUACACUAUGAAGUUUUGUUUAUAUUAACAGUAUGAAAUUUUGUUACAAUGACAGUAUGGAAUUUGUUACAUUGACUGUACUGGAUUUCGUUUAUACUGAAAGUAUGAAAUUUUGUUAUAUUGACAGUAUGAAUUUUGUUAUAUUGACAGUAUGGAAUUUCUGUUAUUAUCAAAACCAACCUAUAAAUAACAAAUGACUGUAUUGAUUUAAGAUUUAUUAUUAAGUAAAACAUGCGCGUAAAUUUCUUACUAUAAGAAGCUAUUUUAUUAUUAUUCUU
This is a long non-coding RNA of Mercenaria mercenaria, 1722 nucleotides long. RefSeq lists it as uncharacterized. The record is from RefSeq and is a predicted model, not a curated record. NCBI's taxonomy places the organism in Eukaryota, Metazoa, Mollusca, Bivalvia, Venerida, Veneridae. The transcript has 3 exons.